UACGGAGGGUGCUAGCGUUGUUCGGAAUCACUGGGCGUAAAGCGCGUGUAGGCGGCCCAUCAAGUCUGAUGUGAAAGCCCGGGGCUCACCCCCGGAAGUGCAUUGGAAACUGUUGGGCUCGAGUCCCGGAGAGGAGGGUGGAAUUCCUGGUGUAGCGGUGAAAUGCGUAGAUAUCAGGAGGAACACCGGUGGCGAAGGCGGCCCUCGGGACGGUGACUGACGCUGGGACGCGAAAGCGUGGGGAGCAAACAGG
This 253-nucleotide ribosomal RNA is filed under the name uncultured bacterium. RNAcentral's name for it is "partial 16S ribosomal RNA". It matches the Rfam family "Bacterial small subunit ribosomal RNA", at positions 524 to 776 of the family's 1533-position model. The record is from RNAcentral.